CCACAAAACAAUUUACGUGACAUUACGAUAGAGUUACAAUCCAAAUGUGACUUCCGCAACCUCAGCGUGUUUUCUCGCCCACCAACUGGUUCUUCUGGUGCGUUUGCUAUGUUCGCACCCCUUUGGCAGUGUAAGAAAAAUGAGACUUGUUGGCUUGAGAAAAAACGGAUGACUUUUGCUCUCUUUUGUUUCCACGUGAAAUGCAAUUUAAGGCCGUCGCCCAAUGCGGCCUGGUGAGAGAAUGUGCCGCCAAGCAUUGUGGAUAGUUUUUUUCUUUUGAAUAUCAGUCACUCAACAUGUCCUGUCAGGCCUACUGUGCCCACAUGCUUCUUUGACGUGUGCUUUAAACACACCUCAUCUGCUACUUGUUGUUAACAUGGAUGCAGACACGGCUUACUCGUAUAGUGUACACACAAUAGAAGUACAGAUACUUGCAUUAAAAAAAGUGUAGACUCUGAAGUGUACUUAAGAAUACAAGUAAAAUUAUUUUACUUUUACUGUUACAAUUCACAUUUGAUAGCUUGAUAUUUUAAGUUUUUUUUUUUUUUUAACCAAUAACUACCCAGCGUUGGCGCGUAUGUUUUAUGCUAGCAAAAUGCCUUCCAAUACGUUUGCUAGCAUCGUGACCCAAUAACGAAAAUUGCUAGAUGAGCGAAUGAUAACUGACAAAUACAGAGUAACUUUGGUUCGCCAAUUAAAUUUGUUCUGUGGGGUAAUUUUUCUUUUCCUUUCUUGCUCUUUGCUACUAUAAAAGUAGGUUGCAACUUGGCUAUCGCAGGAAAACAGUUGAGAACCACAAAUGUGGACCAUGUUUGCUACUUGAAAUGUAAAUGCCACAUUAGCACAUCGUGCUACUCGUGUGUGUCCACAGUUAAUGGCUUGUCAAGCUGACACAGCGAGACGUCUUGCACAGGAAGUGUGAAAUACGCUCUCUCUCUCUCUCUCACACGCACACGCACAGGCACAGGGUCGGGCCAGCCGGGAGACCGGAGCGAUCCGGAUCACACAAUGGCAACGAGGAAUAUCAAACAACACAGCCAUUUUUUGGGUGGGCUGCACUGCGAAACUUUUGUUGAAGGACAGGGAGAAGGAGGAGAAGAAGAAUAACAAAGAAGGCGGGGCAGCCACAGCGAUGCCUUGACCUGUUCCAUGUGCUAAAAUGCUAACAUGAUGUUAGCAACUUAAAUGAUGUCACAGUAGCUACUUAUGGUGAUGAUGUUAGCUCCUUGUUGUCUGUAUGACAUAAGAAAUUUGUAUAGCUAUACUUGUAUAUAUUGUGGUGGCGUGUGAUGUCAUUGUUAGCUAUUUUUUGUGUAGAUGGUCGCUACUAGUAUCAGGGAUGUUAGCGACUUAUUGGCAUGUUCAUAAAUAUGCUCCGAGCGUUCACUCCGACUGUUCCGAAACACAGACCAUUGUCGAAAUGAACAGUUCGGUUAUUCAGAGUGCACCAACACCAGAAUACCGCGGAAAGUUCUAGGCGCACCAAACUGGGGACAUGGUGCAUGCCAGUGCGUCAGGCAGCACAAAUAGAAAUGGCUAAAGCAUGAGAUGCUAUUUGGUUCAAACCAUAGAUUGCAUUCGGAAAUUAACAGGAGCUGGACCUUGCGCUGCCUUUCCCGAUGAUGUUUUCUACUUGUAACGUAGAGAUGUUGGCUACAUGUUCUACAAAGGAAGCUACCAGAUGUCGAUACGAUGUUAUGUAUAGAAAAUUGGGGGGGGGGGGGUAAUUUUAUAGAUGUGGCUUGUAUAGAGUACUUUAGCAAUAUGUACGUGCCUGUUGUGUAGACGUUUGCGACUUCUUGGGAAUGUUAGCAACUUAUAUCGAUGUUAGCAACAUGUAUAGCUGAUUUUUGCUACUUGUUAUAACCUACUUGUCAGUGUUCACUACUAGCUGUAUAGACAAUGUUAGCUACUUGUUCUGUAGACAAUUUUUGGUACUUCCAUAGGUUAUAGCUACUUGUGUCAAUGUCAGCUACUUGUAUAGACUUCUAGCAAUGUGAGCAAUUGUGUUGCCAUUAGUUGCUUGUUGUCUUCGGGAUGUAUGCAUAAAUGACAUUGUCUAAUUAUAGAUGAGACAAAGCUAGCAAUUUAUGAGCUUUCGAAUCCAAAAAAUGCUAACAUGGCAGAAAUUGGCUUUGAUCAUCACACCUUCCUGUGUUGCUAUCGUCACAUGACUAGCGCGUGUGCUCUUCUAUCAAAGCUGGACAUUUGAUUUUUCUUUUUUAAUUGGGGGAGUUUCAUGCAGGAAAUUGGAUUUAAUCCUCAAGAUCCUAAACUUCCUGUGUCCUCAUAUGCCGCAUAACCGUUGUACCAAACAUACGUGUGAACUUUUUCUCACAAGGGUCUUCUUAUGAUCGUAGAAUGAUGGUGUUUUAAGGGAGCAUUCCGUGCUAAAAUGCCAAUAUGGGAAAACAGACUCAGAUCUUCAUAGUGAAAAGCUUCCUGUGUGCUUAUCGCCGCAUGAACAGCACACGUGCCGUGAAAUCGAACACACUCGUGUGAAUUUUGACAUCUUUCACCCCCAACCCCUCACAAGGGUCUUCUUAUGUUACUAGAAGGGUGGUGUGAAGGAGCCAUGGGAAGGGAGUAGGUUGGCAGCGUUGGUUGUUGCAGUUUUGGUGUCUGUUGCAACCACCGCACGUCAAACCGGUCUCUCGGUGCGUGUCCUGACUGCUCUGGUUGCUGUGUUUUUUUUCCAUUCUUUUUUUCUCAUUGCCUAAAGAAAUGCUGGCACAGGUCCGACUUGUUAUGCAAUCGGGGGAGGAAAUGAAGGACGGGGAGAGAGGGGGCGUCAGGAUGGUCCCACAAAUCUCCUGCCUUGCAUAAAAAGAUGAAUUAAACUGAAACAGAUAAUGAUGGCACUUUAAAUUAGCAGGAUGGAAGCAGGUAAACCAUGGUUGUGGUGGGCGUGGCUGCGCACGAGGACGACGAGUAAGACGUGACCAGGCGACCCGGAUGCGGCAGUGCCGCCACGUGGCCAGAUCAGGAACAGACAGACAGGGGCAAAGAUGAUCCUUCCCACAAUCCAUCGCUGCGACGGAUUACGGCGGUUUGAGCCACUUUGGGUGAUCACAGCCUGAGACGGGGGUUAAUCCUCACAAAGCAGACACACACACACACAAACAUGUAAACAAAUUGCAAGACAAAAAUUGUUACCUCAGCCAAGGAAGUUUUUAGUUUUGUGGUUUUGGUAUGUGUUCACCUGUGUGGAUGUAUAGAUGGAUUUCAGAUUGUCAAUGGCCACAACACAAUUAGUGAUAGAUUUCUUUUCUAUUUUCAUUUAUUUUACAUGCUCUAUACUUUUGAAUGUAAAAAUUGCAUUUUUAAUUAGCAUAUUUUAAAAAGGAUACUAAAUGAAAUAUUUUUUUACAUUUUAAAUAAAUUCCACAUUACAUUAGCCAUAAUAUUAUGACUGAGUAUUAUUUAUUCCGGGUUCAUCUUUUUCCCCAAUCACAUUAAACUAGAAUAAGAACUAAUUUUAUGUAUGG
This is a long non-coding RNA of Hippocampus comes (tiger tail seahorse), 3488 nucleotides long. RefSeq lists it as uncharacterized. The transcript is spliced from 3 exons. The record is from RefSeq and is a predicted model, not a curated record. NCBI's taxonomy places the organism in Eukaryota, Metazoa, Chordata, Actinopteri, Syngnathiformes, Syngnathidae.